RNAcentral lists this ribosomal RNA (761 nucleotides) under uncultured archaeon. Its description in RNAcentral is "bacterial SSU rRNA". It matches the Rfam family "Archaeal small subunit ribosomal RNA", at positions 113 to 879 of the family's 1478-position model. The record is from RNAcentral.
CCUAUGGGCGCAUAUCUCGGGAACUGAGAAUAAUGCCCGAUAGAACAUUAUGCCUGGAAUGGUUUAUGUUUCAAAUGAUUUAUCGCCAUAGGAUGGGACUGCGGCCUAUCAGUUUGUUGGUGAGGUAAUGGCCCACCAAGACUAUUACAGGUACGGGCUCUGAGAGGAGUGGCCCGGAGAUGGGUACUGAGACACGGACCCAGGCCCUAUGGGGCGCAGCAGGCGAGAAAACUUUGCAAUGUGCGAAAGCACGACAAGGUUAAUCCGAGUGGUUUCUGCUAAAGAAACCUUUUGCCAGUCCUAGAAACACUGGUGAAUAAGGGGUGGGCAAGUUCUGGUGUCAGCCGCCGCGGUAAAACCAGCACCUCAAGUGGUCAGGAUGAUUAUUGGGCCUAAAGCAUCCGUAGCUCGUUUUGUAAGUUUUCGGUUAAAUCCAUGCGCUUAACGUAUGGGCUGCCGGGAAUACUGCAUAACUAGGAAGUGGGAGAGGUAGACGGUACUCGGUAGGAAGGGGUAAAAUCCUUUGAUCUAUUGAUGACCACCUGUGGCGAAGGCGGUCUACCAGAACACGUUCGACGGUGAGGGAUGAAAGCUGGGGGAGCAAACCGGAUUAGAUACCCGGGUAGUCCCAGCUGUAAACUAUGCAAACUCAGUGAUGCAUUGGCUUGUGGCCAAUGCAGUGCUGCAGGGAAGCCGUUAAGUUUGCCGCCUGGGAAGUACGUACGCAAGUAUGAAACUUAAAGGAAUUGGCGGGGGAGCAC